UACGGAGGGUGCGAGCGUUGUCCGGAAUCAUUGGGCGUAAAGGGCGCGUAGGUGGCCCGGUCAGUUCGUGGUGAAAGCGCGGGGCUCAACCCUGCGUCGGCCAUGAAUACUGCCGCGGCUGGAGCACUGUAGAGGCAGGCGGAAUUCCGGGUGUAGCGGUGGAAUGCGUAGAGAUCCGGAAGAACACCGGUGGCGAAGGCGGCCUGCUGGGCAGUUGCUGACACUGAGGCGCGACAGCGUGGGGA
Molecule: ribosomal RNA, 245 nt
Filed under: uncultured Gemmatimonas sp.
Lineage: Bacteria; Pseudomonadati; Gemmatimonadota; Gemmatimonadia; Gemmatimonadales; Gemmatimonadaceae
Description: partial 16S ribosomal RNA
Rfam family: Bacterial small subunit ribosomal RNA
Source: RNAcentral